UAGGGAAUCUUCGGCAAUGGACGAAAGUCUGACCGAGCAACGCCGCGUGAGUGAAGAAGGGUUUCGGAUCGUAAAACUCUGUUGUUAGAGAAGAACAAGGACGUUAGUAACUGAACGUCCCCUGACGGUAUCUAACCAGAAAGCCACGGCUAACUACGUGCCAGCAGCCGCGGUAAUACGUAGGUGGCAAGCGUUGUCCGGAUUUAUUGGGCGUAAAGCGAGCGCAGGCGGUUUCUUAAGUCUGAUGUGAAAGCCCCCGGCUCAACCGGGGAGGGUAAUUGGAAACUGGGAGACUUGAGUGCAGAAGAGAAGAGUGGAAUUCCAUGUGUAGCGGUGAAAUGCGUAGAUAUAUGGAGGAACACCAGUGGCGAACGCGGCUCUCUGGUCUGUAACUGACGCUGAGGCUCGAAAGCGUGGGGAGCAAACAGG
RNAcentral lists this ribosomal RNA (429 nucleotides) under Gemmatimonadota bacterium. Its description in RNAcentral is "Gemmatimonadetes bacterium partial 16S ribosomal RNA". It matches the Rfam family "Bacterial small subunit ribosomal RNA", at positions 355 to 776 of the family's 1533-position model. Lineage: Bacteria; Pseudomonadati; Gemmatimonadota. The record is from RNAcentral.